This 253-nucleotide ribosomal RNA is filed under the name uncultured bacterium. Its description in RNAcentral is "partial 16S ribosomal RNA". It matches the Rfam family "Bacterial small subunit ribosomal RNA", at positions 524 to 776 of the family's 1533-position model. The record is from RNAcentral.
UACGUAGGGGGCAAGCGUUGUCCGGAAUCAUUGGGCGUAAAGAGCGUGUAGGCGGCUUGGUAAGUCCGCUGUGAAAGUCCAGGGCUCAACCCUGGAAUGCCGGUGGAAACUGUCAAGCUCGAGUCCGGAAGAGGCGAGUGGAAUUCCUGGUGUAGCGGUGAAAUGCGCAGAUAUCAGGAGGAACACCAAUGGCGAAGGCAGCUCGCUGGGACGGUACUGACGCUGAGGAGCGAAAGCGUGGGGAGCGAACAGG